CAUGUUCCCUAGGGCCGACCCAAGCUGUCGGCCGGAGAUACCCACGCCCGCCGGGUUGUAUCACGCACGCGUGGGGUUCUGCCUAUUAUUUUUCUUUUAAUUUGAUCGAAGGGGAGAAGGCUCAGAGUUGUGGAGUGGUGAUGAAAUUACACCAAAAUUGUUUCAACAAGCUCUAGAAAUGGCCGACUAAAGUACAGUGACGGAGCCGCGACCAGUGGUUAUUGGUGUGGGUAGUCAAUGAGACACCCAUGGAGCCUGCUAGAACUUCCGGAGAGGGAUGUUCACUGUCUUGUGACAAUGGCUUCAUGGGUGCCUAUGUCUCAACUUACCAAGUUGUAUACUUUAUUGCGUGUCGAUUAUAUUUCAGUAAAGCAUAUUUAAUUAAAACUUAGCAGGAGCAGGUUGGUGUAGUUCUCACUCCCACUGAUAAAGUACAAGUUUAUACACCCUUUCACUUCCCAAACCCCCGCCUAGGGCCACUCCAAACCACAGACGAUGAUUUAGAACUCUGCAACAGUUUUUUAUUUUUUGCCUUAUAGCUAUUACAGUGUUUGAAACCUAAAGAAAUACAUUUUCUCUUCAAAUUUGGAUGUGUAUAUAAAUAUCAUUUGUCUGGACUCAGCACACUCCACGCCAUGGUUUCUUGGCCUAUGUUUGCUCUGAAAUCAUCAAGCUUUGUCUACCUAGGGGCCCUGAGAACAUGGAAAACAGCCAGAGUUUAUAGAUCUUAGAAAAA
Long non-coding RNA from Tupaia belangeri chinensis (Chinese tree shrew), 736 nucleotides. RefSeq lists it as uncharacterized. The transcript has 2 exons. The record is from RefSeq and is a predicted model, not a curated record. Lineage: Eukaryota; Metazoa; Chordata; Mammalia; Scandentia; Tupaiidae.